AUUUUAUGUUUCUGGCGAGAAGGGAACGGAGUUUUCAUCAGGUAGAUUGGUUUUUGUGCAGCCGUCCUCCACCGUUUCCUCCAGGACAGCACCUAGUCGUGGCCGGAAGAGUCUCAGAGCUGUCAGAAAGGUGAGCAUUUGUACAGUGAAACAUUUUGCUACACAAAAGUGAUGUUUAGGAAUAAUAACAAAUUAUUUUCAUGAAUAAGACUGAUUUUAUGGGAAAAUUAAGCAAAUGCUCCAGUUUGAAAAACCUGGAUCUGCGAUCUGUUUGUGGUCUCUAUGAAUAAAGAAAUAAAAGCAAAUAGAAUCUUAUCAGAUAAGUGCUGUUGUAAGUCUAAAUAUAUUUUAUUCUUUGGAAUCUCUAAAGCAAAACUUUUAAACUUUUUUUUUUUUUUUUUUUUUUU
RNAcentral lists this non-coding RNA (407 nucleotides) under Pongo abelii (Sumatran orangutan). Lineage: Eukaryota; Metazoa; Chordata; Mammalia; Primates; Hominidae. The record is from RNAcentral.